Molecule: long non-coding RNA, 810 nt
Filed under: Homo sapiens (human)
Lineage: Eukaryota; Metazoa; Chordata; Mammalia; Primates; Hominidae
Description: non-protein coding lnc-GLS-2:3
Source: RNAcentral
CCCUGGCGGCGGGCGCACUGCUCGCACGCUCGCCCUGGGGCUGCAGAUCGGCUUGCGGGACGGGGUCCCAGAGAGGCCGGUCCACGCGGCCCGCACGCGCGAGUGUUAGCUCUGCACACGACGGAAGGCGGAGGCGCGGGUGGCUGCCGUUUCACCUUAGAGGGAGGGAGGGAAACGUGUCCUGAUUUCUGCACCUAAGGUGCUGGAAACCUUACCCUUGCACUUCCACCGUUUCUUUCCUUGUCCUGAAAAGGUCUCUUUUACCCGCUUCACUUCGCUAUCUACACAGUUUGCACUUGCACUGACUCAGAUCUUGUCCUGUCUGGUAAGCUGUGACCCUCAGCCAGCCUGGGUAGCUGCCCUUGAACCAGAGGUUGGGGUCUGGCAGUUUCUAUAGGCGUCCUCAGGCUCGGUCUGCAAGGGGCUUGCCUCUUUCUUCUGGGGUCUUCUCGCCCCCAUGCCUUCUCAGUUGUGGUGAUUAUACCAGAAGGAACGUGGGAGAAGUAUAAUGGAGAAUGCUUAGUCACUGGACAAUGAUUUCGAAAGUUCGGCUGGCUGAGGAAACAAGAGUUUUGUGUAAUGUCUGUGACUUACUCAAUGGUUCUAGGAGGCACGAGACUGAGUUUCUUUGGGCUCUGCUCGCCUACUCUUAAGGGGCUCUACCUUCUUAGGGUGAACUCGGCACCCACCUAGAACCUCCAGUGUGUGAAAGGGCCUACCUACCUCAUUGGGCCCCAACCUCCAGCCUCUUGUGAGAGUGACGACCAGCCCCAAAAUGGCUGCACACAAACAAGACCCUAAGGUACAGAG